Molecule: ribosomal RNA, 478 nt
Filed under: Carcharhinus isodon (finetooth shark)
Lineage: Eukaryota; Metazoa; Chordata; Chondrichthyes; Carcharhiniformes; Carcharhinidae
Description: partial 12S ribosomal RNA
Rfam family: Bacterial small subunit ribosomal RNA
Source: RNAcentral
CACCCUACUAUGUUGUUCGCCAGAGUACUACAAGCGCUAGCUUAAAACCCAAAGGACUUGGCGGUAUCCCACACCCACCUAGAGGAGCCUGUUCUAUAACCGAUAAUCCCCGUUCAACCUCACCACUUCUUGCCAUUACCGUCUAUAUACCGCCGUCGUCAGCCCACCCUGUGAAGGACCAAAAGUAAGCAAAAAGAAUAAAACUCCAAAACGUCAGGUCGAGGUGUAGCAAAUGAAGUGGAAAGAAAUGGGCUACAUUUUUUUCCAAAAAUAUACGAAUGGUAAACUGAAAACAUACCUAAAGGUGGAUUUAGCAGUAAGAAGAGAUCAGAAUACUCCUCUGAAACCGGCUCUGGGAUAAGCACACACCGCCCGUCACUCUCCUAAAAACAACUCAUCAUUUUCCAUAAAUACAUUCCUUCAAUAAGAGGAGGCAAGUCGUAACAUGGUAAGUGUACUGGAAAGUGCACUUGGAAUC